ACAAGACUAUACAAAGGAUCUACAUCAUACAUUCCAACACAUUCAUACAUAAACAUCAUACAUUCCAAUACAUUCAUACAUAAACAUCAUACAUUCCAACACAUUCAUACAUAAACAUCAUACAUUCCAACACAUCCAUACAUAAGCCAACUGUGCUUCGAAAGGGUUCAACACACUUUGUGUCAUUCGACAUUUGCCACAAUGUGCCUUGACACAUUGCCCUUAUUCUCACCAACUAGGUGAUGAAGGAACUCACCUUCGUGCCACCAACUAGGUGAUGAAAUGUACAACCCGUACUCUGAUAUUAUUUGGAAACUUGCCACCCUUAUCACUAAUCAGGUGAAGAAGGAACUCAUCUUCAUGCCACCAACCAGGUGAUGAAAUGUACAACGUGUACUCUCCUUCAUGCCACCAACCAGGUGAUGAAAUGUACAACGUGUACUCUCCUUCAUGCCACCAACCAGGUGAUGAAAUGUACAACGCGUACUCUCCUUCAUGUCACCAACCAGGUGAUGAAAUGUGAUGAAAGGUGAUUAAGGAAUCCACAUUCGUACCACCAACCAAGUGAUGAAAGUAACCCACCAUUCAUUCCACUAACCAGAAGACGAGUGGUACAACUUGUACAUGUGAACUCCUAGCAUUCACAAAUAAUAAAAAACCCUCAAGCUUUACAACUCAACUAGGGGAGCACUUAUGCUUAACAAGAGCUAUAGUCAUCAACAAAGUCUUAUUGCAAGCCAACAAUGGCUUCAGUGCAUGGUAUACGAAGAUCAAGCUCUUCAGCCCUC
RNAcentral lists this long non-coding RNA (788 nucleotides) under Malus domestica (apple). RNAcentral's name for it is "long non-coding RNA (MDOM_LNC001442)". The record is from RNAcentral. Lineage: Eukaryota; Viridiplantae; Streptophyta; Magnoliopsida; Rosales; Rosaceae.